This is a long non-coding RNA of Apus apus (common swift), 774 nucleotides long. RefSeq lists it as uncharacterized. NCBI's taxonomy places the organism in Eukaryota, Metazoa, Chordata, Aves, Apodiformes, Apodidae. The record is from RefSeq and is a predicted model, not a curated record. The transcript has 6 exons.
UCUACAAGCACACUGCUCAGGCUCAAACUGCCCUUUGCCUGGCCAAGGAGCUUGCAGGGUGCCUGUGUUCUCUGUGAUUUUGUUUUCAUAGAGAACAAGACUCAGAGAGCUUAAGCAAAAAGCUGGAACAGAAACACCCCUCUCCCAUCAGUGCAGAAGGUGCCCGUGUUCUCUGUGUGCAGUUGGCAUUCCACCAGCACUGCUACCUGAGAAGCCAGACAACUUGGCAGCAUAUAACCCACCCAGGAGCUGUGGCAGCUGUGGUGGCACAAGGAAAGCAGGUCUGGAUGCUGGUGAAAUCCAGAAGAAAAAAAGGAGAAAAUCCUUUAAACAAAAGCCAAGGAGAAAGGUGCUGAAGUUCAUAAUGGCUUCACCCUCUCAAGCACCUUAAGGUUUCUGAGUGCUACAAUAAGAGAGGAGAAGAGAGCUCUGGGGCUGCCUCAGCAAUCACAAAAUUAAUAACCAAAGCAAAGCCACCUCAAAUGAAGGAAAGGAGCCCCCAGCCGUGUCUUCACCCUCAGCACCCACACAUGGCCUGGUCUGAGCAGCAGUGUCAGAGAAAGCUGCUGGAAACCACUUUGUUUUCACACCUGUGAGACAAGAAGUAGACAUCGAGGGUGAUACCUGCCCCAGGGCUGUCAUCUGCACAGCAGGUCUGUCAGCAGUGGAGUUUGAGCACCAUGAGAAGGUGACCAUGGCUGGUCCGUGGUGCAGGGACAGCUCUCGUGCUCCUCAGCAAGAUGCUGCUUUAUCACAGCCCAGGCUCUGCAGAAG